Molecule: ribosomal RNA, 386 nt
Filed under: uncultured bacterium
Lineage: Bacteria
Description: bacterial SSU rRNA
Rfam family: Bacterial small subunit ribosomal RNA
Source: RNAcentral
AUUAAACGCUGGCGGCAUGCCUUACACAUGCAAGUCGAACGGCAGCACGGGGGCAACCCUGGUGGCGAGUGGCGGACGGGUGAGUAAAGCAUCGGAACGUAUCCUGGAGUGGGGGAUAACGUAGCGAAAGUUACGCUAAUACCGCAUAUUCUGUGAGCAGGAAAGCAGGGGAUCGCAAGACCUUGCGCUCUGGGAGCGGCCGAUGUCGGAUUAGCUAGUUGGUGGGGUAAAGGCCUACCAAGGCGACGAUCCGUAGCGGGUCUGAGAGGAUGAUCUGCCACACUGGGACUGAGACACGGCCCAGACUCCUACGGGAGGCAGCAGUGGGGAAUUUUGGACAAUGGGCGGAAGCCUGAUCCAGCCAUGCCGCGUGAGUGAAGAAGGCC